AUGGGGCGGGCGGAAAAAGCUGCCAGACGCCAUGACGAGACUGGCCGCUGGCCGUUACCACGCGGCGGCUGGGUGACAAUGAAGCCGCGACUUGGACACUUGCCCUCCCACUGCUCGACGGGGCUAGGAAAGAACUAGAGAUAAAGGUGUGCAGUAUGAGGAAGCAUCCUGAUUUCUCUUGCACUGGCCAGUGUAACACGGUGGUGAGGCUGAGGGGAAGCAAAGGUCAUCUGUCUCUGGCACUGUCAUGGGCUGCAGUGGUCAUCACACUGACCCUCAUUUACUACUGCAGUUUUCCUCAGGUUCGCUCUUGGUACCCAGACUGGAGUGCAAUGGCGCGAUCUCGGCUCACCCCAACCUCCACCUCCUGGGUUCAGGCAAUUCUCCUGCCUCAGCCUCCUGAGUAGCUGGAAUUACAGGCACGCGCCACCAUGCCCAGCUGAAAGUUCUUAUAAAACAGUCUUCUGGGCUGGACGCGGUGGCUCAAGCCUGUAAUCCCAGCACCUUGGGAGGCCGACACAGGUGGAUCACGAGGUCAAGAGAUCGAGACCAUCCUGGUCAACAUGGUGAAACCGCGUCUCUACUAAAAAUACAAAAAAUUAGCUGGGUAACAGCAGCGAAACUCCAUCUCAAACAAACAAACAAACAAACAAAAAAACCAGUCUUCUAUGUAUUAUGAUUCAUGCACUUUACUAAUGAGAGGACCACUUGGUAUUUAUUGGCCUUUAUUUUACAAAUGAUUCUAACCAUGGGUUUGUCAAGGAAGGGAAAUACUGUUGGCUGCAGAUUCAGUGACAAGAGCCAUAAUAAUGAACAACCCAGGGAGGAAACACUAAAACUAUGUUAUAGCAUUUGAGCAGUAAUUAAGGUGCUUAAUGAUGAGAAUGAGCAAUAAAAAAGGUUAUGUUCAUUGCACACUGUUUAAGAAAUGAGACAGGAGCUCAAUAAAUUUUAGAAAUAAUUUUAAUCAAAGCACAAUGUAAAAGUAAAGAAAGUAAAAUAAUUUUCUUAACUGUAUAAAUGUAAGUUUCCUCAACAUUCUGAUGAUAUGACAGUGCCAGACAAAUGAGGUUUUGCUAUUUGAACACAAUCAUCACCACUAUGUGAAAUUCAGCUAAAUAUCUCAAAACAAAGAGAACCAGGGGUUGCUGUGACAGAUGCUAGAUCAGAGCUGAGCACACGUCCUCAGAGUCAGCUUUGAUACAUGCCUCUGUCUUGCGCUAGUAUAGACAGGCUGUUUUUAAGGUCCCACUGUGGAAAGACAGGUGAAGUCAUUUCCAUUGGAAGAUGAGAGCUUUGCCUUCCUGGCUUUUUAUUUUUUCUUAGUAUGAGAUCAGCCUUAUACAGGAAGAGUGAAGGAAGAGGAAGGGAAGAGGAAAAGGAGAACCCUCGAGUUCAAAUCUUUCCUAGAGACCAUUUUUAUCUCAUCUGUAGAAAUAGAAGUGGGAAAAAGAGUAUCCAAUACCAUUUUCUAGAAUGAAUAAAUGGAUAAGUAAAUAAAUUUAGACAAAUACUAGUAUGAGCCAUCUUCCCCAGUUUUGAAGAUUUGUAAAUUCUCAGUGAGCAUCAGUGACAACCUUCCCAAUAAUAUCCAUUUCUGGCAGAAUAAUGAUCAAACCCAAUAUGAAAGAAUUCAUGGAAACAGCUGCCCCUUUUUAAGAUUGCAGCACUGUAGAGAAUGUUGAUGUCAUCAUCUUGCUAAAGAACACACCUUCUCAUUUCCUUUCUUUGAAGAUUCCAUGAAUAUCACUGAUAACCAGAUAGUCCUAUACAAUUAUGUAUUCCCACUUCAUGUGGAAAAAGUGACUUUGGUUGUCAUCAGUUAACGCAGCCAGCAGGAGCUGCAAUGCCAACAAGGAAACCCCAAACUCUCUGGGCCAUCUAAGUGUUAACAGGUAUCACAGUUAAAAGAAAUGAGUUCCCAUGGUUUCCUUAAUGCUAGUGCUAGCCACCCUGAACCAAAGGAGUAUUAAAAUUGAGUCAGUUUAAAUGAAAGAAUGGGUUAAUUCAACCAAAAUUACUGUUCAUGAACUUUGUUUAAAAUAAUUUUAUUAUCCAGCUAAAUUUUAUUUAGCUUAAAGGCAAUAACAGGGACAGAUUUUCCUUUUUUAAAAUCAUUCUUGGAUAAUUUAGAAAAGGCUGAAAGGCCUAAAAAAUUGUUAUCAAGUGUGGGAAGCAUAUUUAUAACAAUAUUUACAAAACUGAAAGACUCCCCCAUCCUCGUACACACUUUUUGGACUCUCCACACAGCAUAAAACCAGGAUCAUCCAGAACCAGCCGCCAGCAUCGGCAUCACUCUAGGGCCCUGGGUUCCACUUAGAACUUGUACUAAAAUUCUUUUGGGGAUGAGAUUUCUCCUUGAUUAUUUUUCUUUUUAUCUGUUUUGUGGAACCAACAGUAAUUGAGGAGCCAGAGAAGGAAAGCUGGCCAUGUGGGAUGAGGGUAUCAACAAUGUAACUCCCACCCACAAAGAGCUCUUAACUGAUGGUUAAUUACAUGUUUGCUGACUGCCUGAGAAAAUAAAUCUUCCUGCAAGCUUGGGCCACAAGUGUUUCCUAGGAGAAAUUCCUGAAGGUAGAAGGAAUAACUUGAACAAUCGAAUAAGGAAAAGACCUAAAGCAACUAGAUGUUUUCUAGGCUUUUUUUUUUUCCUUUGGUCAAUUUUUAGGAGACUUUUAUAUGACUCUGUCUCUAGGUUUAGUUAAAAAAAGGAAACUAACCUCAACACUUAGCACAGGAUAGAAAUAAGGCUUUCUGCAGCCUGUUCUCCAAAUGAACACUUGGUCAAUUGCAGUAAAUAUCUAAGUGAAUGUCCACUCCAUACCUAAAUAUGCACUAAAACCUGUGUAGACUGUAAAAAGGACCAUAAGAUCUGGUCCUUGCCCCCAAACAACUUACAGAACAGGUGAAAACACAAGACUCCAUGUGCAUGGAAGUACACACCCAGCAAGUAUGCAAAGUACAAAAAAGCAGUGGUAAGAGCAGUCAGGGCAGGAGUGGCUGAUCAGGGUAAGUUAAGCUGAGAAGGAGAGGGGAUGGAGGCUUGCCCUAAAGAUAAGACUUGUCUAUGCAAAAGGGAAUGGUUCUCUUUCUGAUCACAUAAUAGGAUGCAGCUUCCCUGCCCCCUUUAAAGUUGACAUGCCAAUGUGACUUGCUUUGGCCAAAUAAAUGUAAGCAGAAGUGACGUAUUUCCCUCCCAUGUAGAAUCUUUUAGAUAUAGUACCAACCAUGUAUUUCUUCUGCCAACAUUGAGACAAUUGAGAAAGGAUGUGUAGAGAUGGAACGUUCUUCAGCCUGGGUACCAAAAUGUUUACAAUGAGCACAGUCUGAUCAGGUAGCUUGAGCUUUUGUUGUGAGUCACUGAUAUACAUUAUAGGUACUGUUUGUUACCAUAGCAUAACCUAGUUUAUCCUGACUGAUAUACUAACACAACCAAUGGUUUCUGUUUCUUCAUGUUCCCAUCCACACUUUGUCCAUAUAAUCACAUAGUUUUUACAUGGACAUAAUAAUAGUAUAGAAUAUAUUUUGCUUUGUUGUAU
Molecule: long non-coding RNA, 3539 nt
Organism: Callithrix jacchus (white-tufted-ear marmoset)
Lineage: Eukaryota; Metazoa; Chordata; Mammalia; Primates; Cebidae
Source: Ensembl